RNAcentral lists this ribosomal RNA (253 nucleotides) under uncultured bacterium. RNAcentral describes it as "partial 16S ribosomal RNA". It matches the Rfam family "Bacterial small subunit ribosomal RNA", at positions 524 to 776 of the family's 1533-position model. The record is from RNAcentral.
UACGGGGGGGGCAAGCGUUGUUCGGAAUUACUGGGCGUAAAGGGCUCGUAGGCGGCCAACUAAGUCAGACGUGAAAUCCCUCGGCUUAACCGGGGAACUGCGUCUGAUACUGGAUGGCUUGAAUCCGGGAGAGGGAUGCGGAAUUCCAGGUGUAGCGGUGAAAUGCGUAGAUAUCGGGAGGAACACCAGUGGCGAAGGCGACUACCUGGCCUGUUCUUGACGCUGAGGCGCGAAAGCUAGGGGAGCAAACGGG